UGGAUGCUGUGCUAACGGCA
This 20-nucleotide unclassified non-coding RNA is filed under the name Chlamydomonas reinhardtii. RNAcentral's name for it is "small RNA Cre_3275". The record is from RNAcentral. Lineage: Eukaryota; Viridiplantae; Chlorophyta; Chlorophyceae; Chlamydomonadales; Chlamydomonadaceae.